Molecule: ribosomal RNA, 468 nt
Filed under: uncultured bacterium
Lineage: Bacteria
Description: partial 16S ribosomal RNA
Rfam family: Bacterial small subunit ribosomal RNA
Source: RNAcentral
GACGAACGCUGGCGGCGUGCUUAACACAUGCCAGUCGAACGGAAAGGCCCUGCUUGUGUGGGGUGCUCGAGUGGCGAACGGGUGUGUAACACGUGAGUAACCUGCUCUUGACUUUGGGAUAACUUCAGGAAACUGGGGCUAAUACCGGAUAGGAGCUCCUGCUGCAUGUGGGGGGUUGGAAAGUUUCGGCGGUUGGGGACGGCCUCGCGGCCUAGCAGUUUGUUGGUGGGGGAGGGGCUUACCAAGGCAUUGACGGGUAGCCGGCCGGAGAGGGUGACCGGCACAAUGGGGACGGGAAUCGGGCCCAGCCUCCACCGGGAGGCAGCGGUGGGGAAUAUUGCACAAUGGGGGGAGGCCGAAUGCAGCACCGCCGCGUGGGGGAUGACGGCCUUCGGUUGGUAAACCGCUUUCGCCUGUGACGAAGUGUGAGUGACGGUAAUGAGUUAAGAAGCACCGGCUAACUACGUG